CCAGCUGGUGGCGCUGUCUUUACCGACUAAUAACACCAACGAAGAAGAGGAAGCUAAUCCGUGCAGCUAGCAAUCCGACAAUAAACAAACAGAAACUAACACGAACAUGUCAGCCGAUACCAAGAUCGCAGAGCUGCUCACAGAGCUCCAUCAGCUCAUCAAACAGACCCAGGAGGAGAGAUCCCGAAGUGAACACAAUCUACUGAACAUCCAGAAAACACACGAGAGGAUGCAGACGGAAAACAAGAGUCAGUCACACACACACACACACACACACAGACACACAGAGACACACAGAGACACACACACACA
Molecule: long non-coding RNA, 312 nt
Organism: Morone saxatilis (striped sea-bass)
Lineage: Eukaryota; Metazoa; Chordata; Actinopteri; Moronidae
Exons: 3
Source: RefSeq, a predicted model, not a curated record